RNAcentral lists this ribosomal RNA (266 nucleotides) under uncultured bacterium. RNAcentral describes it as "partial 16S ribosomal RNA". It matches the Rfam family "Bacterial small subunit ribosomal RNA", at positions 524 to 788 of the family's 1533-position model. The record is from RNAcentral.
UACGAAGGGGGCUAGCGUUGCUCGGAAUCACUGGGCGUAAAGCGCACGUAGGCGGCUUUUUAAGUCAGGGGUGAAAUCCUGGAGCUCAACUCCAGAACUGCCUUUGAUACUGAGAAGCUUGAGUCCGGGAGAGGUGAGUGGAACUGCGAGUGUAGAGGUGAAAUUCGUAGAUAUUCGCAAGAACACCAGUGGCGAAGGCGGCUCACUGGCCCGGUACUGACGCUGAGAUGCGAAAGCGUGGGGAGCAAACAGGAUUAAGAAACCCU